This 253-nucleotide long non-coding RNA is filed under the name Lathyrus oleraceus (garden pea). RNAcentral describes it as "Pisum sativum (pea) long non-coding RNA (PSAT_LNC036280)". The record is from RNAcentral. Lineage: Eukaryota; Viridiplantae; Streptophyta; Magnoliopsida; Fabales; Fabaceae.
UGUAACACCCUUCUAAAAUACCCCAAGUAUUUGAUUAAAAUAAUAAAAUAUCAAUCAGAGUAAUUAUGCCCUGAAGGGUGUCACACAAUCAUUUCACACCAAUCAUCAAUAUAUCCUGUCAUGCUCAUUUAUUCAAUCAAAAUAGGACACCUUUGCAUAAUUCGCAGCGGAUACAAAAUAACAACAUUCAAAUCAUGUACUACAUUACAUGUAAAGUUGUUCAACAACCAAAAGAAAACAUAGUAAAACAUCC